AUGUGUGUGCCAGCUCUGGCUUUAACCAAUUCCCUCUUGUUUUCAGAUGAUAAAGAAAACUCCAGGCUGUCUCCUUUCAUCCCAAAAUGUAAAGAAAAAGGUAUUUCUUUGGCUGCUUCCCCUGUGAAGAUCUUGGCUUUGCCGCAGAUGGAGGAAGGCCGUAAGGAAUCGUUCAGCACCGAGGUGGGGACGGCGCGGGCUGCGCCGCGGUGUCCUGCUCCGUCCCCUUUGCCGGACUCUUCGGUGUUAGAAGGGGAGUCCUGUGGCACGAGCGAAGCCUCCUGUGGGGUGGGAGAGGAUUCCUGCUUCUUCAGCUUCACCCAGGACUCGGAGGGCAACCGCAUCAUCGCUCACAGAAACGCAUCUGAUUUAUUUGCUGGAGAAACAGUUUCGGUGAGCAGCAAACGAGGGGGGAGGCUGCUCCCAGAGGAGACAAUUGGACUCGAUUUCCAACCCAGACUCGGUGCAAACGAGAAGAAGAAACCACACCCAUCGAGUAGCAUUAAUUCUUUCACUGAUUUCACUGAGACUGAGAAUACAAAUCCUACUCUGAGGAGAGACAGCACCUGUGCUGCUGGCUUUUAUCCCUCUCCCCAGAGAUCGGCCAGAGCGCAGCCCCUGAGAGAACGCAACCACAACGUGGGGGCUGGAUCAGCCCAGGAGGGACGGGGCAGUCCCUGCAGGGAGCUCUUCACCCAGGACUCCCAGGGGAACAGGGUGAUCGCUCACCGUGCCCAGACCCUUCCAUCCCCCUCCAAGGGCUGCUCCGGCAACGGGAGCUUGAGCGAAGCUGAGGAGCACAAGUUGGACACAUGCUACGAUUUACUGUUCACACAGGAUUCAGAAGGGAACAGAGUGAUUAAACACUGGUGUUGCCAUUAAGCUGUCUUUACUCUUCCCUGGGGCCAGCAUUUACUGUGGACCAAAGUGGAGCUGUGUCAUAGGCCAGGAGUGACCUGCUGCUACACCCUUACACCCAGGGACCCCUUCUCCACAGGCAGGUGUAUCCCCACCACAGCGUUACACAGAGCAGCCUUUUUGGGACACAGAGAGGCUGAUGGUACCAUCCAGAGGCUCUUGGUGUGCUCCCGAGGGGGGGAGAGCUGCAACAACUCCCUGUAAAGCUGAUUAAGUUGUAAAUGCUGUUUCUGAUGGGUGGCCAGAGGCAACACAAGCCUCUGCUCUAAGGUGGGGGGGUGACUUUAAUUUUUUUCAAGGGCUGAGGGCCUGGAGGAUUAAGAAAAUCCUUGGCAUUGAGCGUGUUCAUUUGCAGCACCAGCAGCAGCUGAAAUGCCCCCACCCUCCCCAGAACCCCGCUGCUGACACGCUUGGACGCUGCAAGGACAACCACCAACAAUCUCAAGGACAACCACUGUCUUAUUAAGGCUCCAUUUUAUAUAAAGGAAAAAAAAAAAACCAAACAUACUUUAAAUACAGCCAUGAGGAACAUUGCAGAGGACGUGUAGCUGAAGGAAACCUCUUCAGUCAGUGAGAACUGCGGCCGGUGCCAAGGUCCUUCUUCCCUUCGCUGGGGUGGGUGCUGGGUUCCUAGCAUGGGUGGUUCAAUAAAUAGACCUUUUGAAGGCUAAAUAAAAUACA
This 1599-nucleotide long non-coding RNA is filed under the name Calidris pugnax (ruff). Its description in RNAcentral is "lncRNA (ENSCPUG00000016284.1)". The record is from RNAcentral. Lineage: Eukaryota; Metazoa; Chordata; Aves; Charadriiformes; Scolopacidae.